GGGGGCGUGUGGUUUCGACAGAGGGGAAAAUUAGUAGAAUGCAGGCCGAGGACGCCGGCUCCCUCGUUAAUCCGCUGGCAAGCCAGUAAUUGGCAACAACCAGAGCGCUCGCGCGCUCGCUUACGCGGCCUAAUAUCCGCGUACCUCGUCUUAGUCUCCGCCUGACGGACUAAUACACGGGGCCACUUAGUUAGGCUGCUGCGGACCUGAUGUCGAGUGGGGUCCGCAAAAGAUCACUCGGCUGGCGCAGAACGGACCCUGUCGGUGGGGGCCUGAAGCGCGAGACCCAAAUCACCGAACAUGCCUGUAGUAAGUCUGCGGUUUACCCGCUUUGGACGGGAGUGUUCGACCCCUCCCCGCCUCCACCC
This 368-nucleotide transfer-messenger RNA is filed under the name Chloroflexota bacterium. It matches the Rfam family "transfer-messenger RNA". From Rfam's summary of the family: Bacterial tmRNA, also known as 10Sa RNA or SsrA, is named for its dual tRNA and mRNA-like properties. Its role is to liberate the mRNA from a stalled ribosome. To accomplish this part of the tmRNA is used as a reading frame that ends in a translation stop signal. The record is from RNAcentral. Lineage: Bacteria; Bacillati; Chloroflexota.